UAACCUGCCCAAGAGAUCGGGAUAACACCUGGAAACAGAUGCUAAUACCGGAUAACAACAGAUGAUGCCUAUCAACUGUUUAAAAGAUGGUUCUGCUAUCACUCUUGGAUGGACCUGCGGUGCAUUAGCUAGUUGGUAGGGUAACGGCCUACCAAGGCGAUGAUGCAUAGCCUAGUUGAGAGACUGAUCGGCCACAUUGGGACUGAGACACGGCCCAAACUCCUACGGGAGGCAGCAGGC
Molecule: ribosomal RNA, 240 nt
Filed under: uncultured Lactobacillus sp.
Lineage: Bacteria; Bacillati; Bacillota; Bacilli; Lactobacillales; Lactobacillaceae
Description: partial 16S ribosomal RNA
Rfam family: Bacterial small subunit ribosomal RNA
Source: RNAcentral